This 54-nucleotide transfer RNA is filed under the name Ailuropoda melanoleuca (giant panda). RNAcentral's name for it is "partial tRNA-Lys". The record is from RNAcentral. Lineage: Eukaryota; Metazoa; Chordata; Mammalia; Carnivora; Ursidae.
GGCUGGCUCAGUCGGUAGAACGUGCGACUCUUGAUCUCAGGGCCAUGAGUUCAA